UAGGGAAUCUUCGGCAAUGGACGAAAGUCUGACCGAGCAACGCCGCGUGAGUGAAGAAGGUUUUCGGAUCGUAAAACUCUGUUGUUAGAGAAGAACAAGGACGUUAGUAACUGAACGUCCCCUGACGGUAUCUAACCAGAAAGCCACGGCUAACUACGUGCCAGCAGCCGCGGUAAUACGUAGGUGGCAAGCGUUGUCCGGAUUUAUUGGGCGUAAAGCGAGCGCAGGCGGUUUCUUAAGUCUGAUGUGAAAGCCCCCGGCUCAACCGGGGAGGGUCAUUGGAAACUGGGAGACUUGAGUGCAGAAGAGGAGAGUGGAAUUCCAUGUGUAGCGGUGAAAUGCGUAGAUAUAUGGAGGAACCCCAGUGGCGAAGGCGGCUCUCUGGUCUGUAACUGACGCUGAGGCUCGAAAGCGUGGGGAGCAAACAGG
RNAcentral lists this ribosomal RNA (429 nucleotides) under Chloroflexota bacterium. RNAcentral describes it as "Chloroflexi bacterium partial 16S ribosomal RNA". It matches the Rfam family "Bacterial small subunit ribosomal RNA", at positions 355 to 776 of the family's 1533-position model. The record is from RNAcentral. RNAcentral also lists the same sequence under 1 other name. Lineage: Bacteria; Bacillati; Chloroflexota.